Molecule: ribosomal RNA, 514 nt
Filed under: uncultured bacterium
Lineage: Bacteria
Description: partial 16S ribosomal RNA
Rfam family: Bacterial small subunit ribosomal RNA
Source: RNAcentral
GAUGAACGCUGGCGGCGUGCCUAAUACAUGCAAGUCGAGCGAACAGAUGAGAAGCUUGCUUCUCUGAUGUUAGCGGCGGACGGGUGAGUAACACGUGGGUAACCUACCUAUAAGACUGGGAUAACUCCGGGAAACCGGGGCUAAUACCGGAUAAUAUUUUGAACCGCAUGGUUCAAUAGUGAAAGGCGGUUUCGGCUGUCACUUAUAGAUGGACCCGCGCCGUAUUAGCUAGUUGGUAAGGUAACGGCUUACCAAGGCGACGAUACGUAGCCGACCUGAGAGGGUGAUCGGCCACACUGGAACUGCGACACGGUCCAGACUCCUACGGGAGGCAGCAGUAGGGAAUCUUCCGCAAUGGGCGAAAGCCUGACGGAGCAACGCCGCGUGAGUGAUGAAGGUCUUCGGAUCGUAAAACUCUGUUGUUAGGGAAGAACAAAUUUGUUGGUAACUGAACAAGUCUUGACGGUACCUAACCAGAAAGCCACGGCUAACUACGUGCCAGCCGCCGCCGUAA